GCUGGGCUCAGGGGCCACCUGCUCAGGCUCCGAGCGCGGCACGCCGUGGGGUGGACUGAUCACGUCACAGCCCUGCGGCCGGCGAGCUUAUUGUGACUUCUUAGGGCCUCGGUUCUGCCGGGCUCCGUCCCUCGGGUGACCUUGAGCGCUGGGGCCGCUGCUCAUGUAAAACGGGGAGAAGGCACUGAGUGCCCAGGAAGGGCCCCUAAAACAGUCACUGGGGCCUGCUCCUGUUGGGGCUCCCCCCGCCCCCUCUUACCCCGGGCGGGACCCGGGUCCUGCCGGAACCGGCGACAGGAGGGUAGAGGAAGAGCGGAAGGGGUGGACUGAGCGCCCCGCCCGGACUCCGGUGUCCUGACCCAGCCGUGUAGCAAGCCGACCCCGGCGCGGACGCUGGGCGCCGGCACCGCAAGGCUCAUCUGUGAGGACAGUGAGCCUACAUCCGGCUGUAAACUGGACCCUCCUCACCAGGAACGUCCACGAUGAGAAAGUCUACUAGUCUUGAGAAGAAAUGACUCUCCUAGGGAGAAUAUCAUCCUGCGCAUUAGGAUAAGUCAAAGAUGUGUGCUAUCACUUCUGACUCUGAGCUGAGGUCGGUGACUGUUGUUUGCUGAGCUACUUUCUGGGACACCCGGCGGUUCUCUACGCCCACGAAUCAGAUCUCACGAUGGCCCCCCCCUGCUUGCCACUCCACUGCUCUUGUAAAGUCCACCCAUUGACUCCUGUGUCACCCUGUCACUGUGGGAAAUGCAGCAUUUACCCCAUUGCUCUCCGGUCUCAGGUUUCCGUUUUCAGAUUGAGAAAUACGUCGUUUUUCUUCUGGGCCAAGUAUAUGCAGCGGGACCAGCGUUAACUCUAAGAGGCUUGCAGCCAGGAGGACUCAGAAUGUAUGCAGGCUCAUCAGAACAGGCCUGGCUCAUUAUGAUGGUGGUGAGGGUGUGCGUUUCCAGGAAGUACAGGUAAUGGAAACGUGAAGAAGACUAAGCUUAGGAUCCCCAAGGUAGAGAUUGGGAUUUCUCUUCGGGUGGAUCCUCUCUUUGCUCCUGGAGGAAAGGCUGUGUAAUUUCACAUGUGUGCUACAACGUCUGUAUAAAUUCAUGUGGGAUUGAGGUCUGCACUUCAUUAUCUUUGUUAUUUCAAUGGAUUAGCCUAAAAGCGGUUUCUUUAUUUUGAGCUGAGCUUCCAUUUGGAAAAUAAAGACUGGAUACAUAAACAAGAUGGUAAUCCUGUACAAUGAAAGCAUUUUGAAUCCAAUUUUGGAGUUAGAUAACUUAAUGAUGAAAAAUUAGGCAUUUGCUCUUACAAAUUCGGAGGUCCUUCUGCUGGUAGAAGAAUGUGGCCACAUAAUCUCUGCUCGAUGCUCUUUGAAGGAAUUUAUUUAAUGGCCAGCCUGGCUUGGCUAAGAACAUCUCCAAUGUUAGUUCCUCAAGGGGUUAUUUAAGAAUGAAUAAAACAUGACUUUGGGGAAGCUAAAUAUGGCAUUUGUAGUUCCUGGUGGACAGAGCAUCUUUGAGCAUCUUUGAGUGCAGAUAUUUUGCUUGUCAAUUAACCCCCCUCUCAGGACAGAAGGCAGAACAUGAGAAGAACGUUAGCCAGUCUUCCCCUUCUUCACGUUGGAAUCCAGCCCAGGAAGCUUUGUUAUGUGGGCCGGACGUAUAGUCAUGGAGGGCUGGAUGUGUCCGGGGAAGAAGGACACCCACGCCCACAGGCAGAAUUACCCAGAUCUGUAACUGUGGCGAAAUCUGGUCUGGAUCACCCGGCGGAAGAACCAGGUGGCACUCGGAGAUCUUGGAAGGCAGGAGGGUUAAUUUACACCAGUGGGCUCAGACGAGCUCAUUCUCAGAGGUCUGAGCCCUGAGCACGAGCAGAGGGAACAAUUUAUAGUCCGUUACUUCUGCAUCCCUCAUUAAUGUGCAACAAGCAGGGUGGGAAGAAGAACCCGGAAGGGGGAACCUUGGAUCAGGGACAGGAAUUUCCUUGUCGGUCCUGUGGGCCAUCUUGUAACAGAUUUUUCCCUAUCAUAAGGAUCAAGGAAUCCGCCCGUCCAGAUCUUCCAGAAUCUCGGAAGAAGCUCCAUCAGUGCCUCCCCGGGCCAACGUGUUUUCUGAAAUCUGCAAACGUAGAAGGUCACUGUCUCUUUCCGUUCUGAUGUCCUUCCACUCUGUCCCUGUAGGCGGUAGUGGAGACACCGAGGACAGUUCGAGAAAGAGUUCUCAAAUGUUACAUGGGAUGGACUGAGUGUUGUUAAUGAGGACUAUUUAUGGUCUGUCACGGCACGAGAUGCUGUGAAAUCCUGCCGCUCGGGUGAGCUUGACAAAGGCCUUCUGAAAAUCCUGCCGCUCGGGUGAGCUUGACAAAGACCUUCUGAAAAUCCUGCCGCUCGGGUGAGCUUGACAAAGGCCUUCUGAAACUGGGCAAGAAUCCUGAAAAUGUGCACAAACUUAUCAAUGAUGAAUGGUGAAGGUGAUGUGAGCUUCUCAAAACCGACAAUACCAAAACCUCAAAAUUCUGGCCAGCUUAGCUACAGAAAAAACCAGAACUAUUUUUUAUAACAUAACAUAACAUAACAUAGCAUAAC
Suricata suricatta (meerkat) is the source of this 2578-nucleotide long non-coding RNA. RefSeq lists it as uncharacterized. NCBI's taxonomy places the organism in Eukaryota, Metazoa, Chordata, Mammalia, Carnivora, Herpestidae. The record is from RefSeq and is a predicted model, not a curated record. The transcript has 7 exons.